Molecule: ribosomal RNA, 476 nt
Filed under: uncultured bacterium
Lineage: Bacteria
Description: partial 16S ribosomal RNA
Rfam family: Bacterial small subunit ribosomal RNA
Source: RNAcentral
GAUGAACGCUCGCGGCAGGCCUAACACAUGCAAGUCGAGGGAGAAGCCUUUCGGGGCAGAAACCGGCGCACGGGUGCGUAACGCGUAUGCAACCUACCUUUCACAGGGGGAUAGCCCGAAGAAAUUUGGAUUAAUACCCCAUAAUAUUGUUGGAUGGCAUCAUCUGAUAAUUAAAACUGCGGUGGUGAAAGAUGGGCAUGCGUCCUAUUAGCUAGUUGGAGUGGUAACGGCACCCCAAGGCUACGAUAGGUAGGGGUCCUGAGAGGGAGAUCCCCCACACUGGUACUGAGACAGGGACCAGACUCCUACGGGAGGCAGCAGUGAGGAAUAUUGGUCAAUGGUCAGAAGACUGAACCAGCCAUGCCGCGUGCAGGAAGAAUGCCUUAUGGGUUGUAAACUGCUUUUAUAUGGGAAGAAUAAGGUGUACGUGUACAUUGAUGACGGUACCAUAUGAAUAAGCAUCGGCUAACUCCGUG